ACGACCUUCGGGAGCUUGUACAGGUGCUGCAUGGCUGUCGUCAGCUCGUGUCGUGAGAUGUUCGGUUAAGUCCGCUAACGAGCGCAACCCUCGCUGUGUGUUACAAGUGUCACACGGAACUGCCGGUCAUAAACCGGAGGAAGGUGGGAUGACGUCAAGUCAGCAUGGCCUUUAUAUCCUGGGCUACACACACGCUACAAUGGGAAGGGACAACAGGUUGCGAAGCCGCGAGGCGGAGCCAAUCCAGCAAAACUUCCCUCAGUUCAGAUUGCAGGCUGCAACCCGCCUGCAUGAAGUUGGAGUUGCUAGUAAACGCAGGUCAGCCAUACUGCGUUGAAUACGUUCCCGGGGCUU
RNAcentral lists this ribosomal RNA (354 nucleotides) under uncultured Anaerolineaceae bacterium. RNAcentral describes it as "bacterial SSU rRNA". It matches the Rfam family "Bacterial small subunit ribosomal RNA", at positions 1011 to 1382 of the family's 1533-position model. The record is from RNAcentral. Lineage: Bacteria; Bacillati; Chloroflexota; Anaerolineae; Anaerolineales; Anaerolineaceae.